This 253-nucleotide ribosomal RNA is filed under the name uncultured bacterium. Its description in RNAcentral is "partial 16S ribosomal RNA". It matches the Rfam family "Bacterial small subunit ribosomal RNA", at positions 524 to 776 of the family's 1533-position model. The record is from RNAcentral.
UACGGAGGGUGCAAGCGUUAUCCGGAUUUACUGGGUUUAAAGGGUGCGUAGGUGGGUUGGGAAGUCAGUGGUGAAAUACUUUCGCUUAACGAAGGAACUGCCAUUGAUACUAUCAAGCUUGAAUGUAGUGGAGGUAGGCGGAAUGCGUCAUGUAGCGGUGAAAUGCUUAGAUAUGACGCAGAACACCAAUUGCGAAGGCAGCUUGCUACACUACUAUUGACACUGAGGCACGAAAGCGUGGGGAUCAAACAGG